GAGAAUCUUCCGCAAUGGACGAAAGUCUGACGGAGCGACGCCGCGUGAUGGAUGAAGCCUUUCGGGGUGUAAACAUCUUUUAUACGUGAGGAAGUUUAUUGACGUUAGCGUAUGAAUAAGGGGCUCCAAACUCUGUGCCAGCAGGAGCGGUAAUACAGAGGCCUCGAGCGUUAUCCGGAAUCAUUGGGCGUAAAGGGUGUGUAGGUGGUUGUAUUAGUCUCAAGUUAAAUCCUCGGGCUUAACUCGAGAAUCGCUUGGGAAACGGUACAACUAGAGGAUGCGAGGGGUGUACGGAACUCAUGGAGUAGGGGUGAAAUCCGUUGAUAUCAUGGGGAACACCAAAAGCGAAGGCAGUACACUGGCGCAUUCCUGACACUGAGACACGAAAGCUAGGGUAGCGAACGGGAUUAGAUACCCCGGUAGUCCUAGCCCUAAACGAUCCAGACUAGCUUUUUAGAGUAUCGACCCUCUGAGAGGCGAAGCCAACGCGUUAAGUCUGGCGCCUGGGUAGUACGAGCGCAAGCUUAAAACUCAAAGGAAUAGACGGGGACUUGCACAAGCAGUGGAUUAUGUGGUUUAAUUCGAUGAUAAACGAAGAACCUCACCAAGGUUUGACACCAAACUGAAAGCUUUUGGAAACAGAAGCCCUCUUCGGACAGUUUGGCAGGUGCUGCAUGGCCGUCGUCAGUUCGUGGUUUGAAUUGUUCCCUUAAGUGGGGUAACGAACGCAACCCUCGUUGCCAGUUACAAGUGUCUGGCGAGACUGCCCAGCCCAGAGUUUUCAAAGAAGUUUGAAAAUUGUGGGCUGGGAGGAAGGCGAGGAUGACGCCAGGUCAGCAUGGCCCUUUGACACCUUGGGCUACACACAUAAU
RNAcentral lists this ribosomal RNA (872 nucleotides) under marine metagenome. Its description in RNAcentral is "bacterial SSU rRNA". It matches the Rfam family "Bacterial small subunit ribosomal RNA", at positions 357 to 1226 of the family's 1533-position model. The record is from RNAcentral.